This is an RNA transcript of Thamnophis elegans (Western terrestrial garter snake), 3214 nucleotides long. It is a transcript of the gene named decaprenyl diphosphate synthase subunit 2, with no coding region annotated. The record is from RefSeq and is a predicted model, not a curated record. The transcript has 9 exons. NCBI's taxonomy places the organism in Eukaryota, Metazoa, Chordata, Lepidosauria, Squamata, Natricidae.
AUGGCUGCCUCCAUGAGAUUAGCGUGCCGCUUCGGUACCGGGAAGGCUACUUAGAGCAGAGUUUCCACCCCCACCCACCGACUUUAAGGAGUUUAUAAAGCGGGAGUAGUGCUCCUUCUCCUCCGUGGUCGGACGAAGAAGAUUGCAAAAAGGGGCGGGGCAGAAGCGGAAAGGCGCGCAUAAAUACGAGCGGAGAAGAAGCAAAAACUACUGGUAGUGAAAGGUUGGAGGACUUGGAGCAGGACUUGAUACCGAUGAUCAGGCCUGUAGCGGAUUCUUGCUUGUUUGUUGCCCAGAUACAAUUCGGGGACGGACAAGUGGCAGCAAGAGCCGCGUGGGUGACUUCGGCUUUCUGGAAGUGAUGCUGCGCCCCGUGUUGCUGUCGCCUUGUGUUAAAAGUUGCUCCCGGAUACUUGCUCAGUUCUGGGCUGAAGGAUGUGGAAAGCCCAGGCAGCUUUCUUCGGCUUCCUAUUGGAGCAAAGUGGUUUCGGAGGCCGAGAAAAUCGUGGGCUACCCGACCUCUUUCAUGAGCCUGCGGUGUCUCUUGAGCGACGAGCUGAGCAAUAUCGCCAUGCAGAUUCGCAAAUUGGUGGGAACCAACCACCCGUUGCUUAACACGGCCAGGGGCUUUGUGUCUGACACCAGGAAUAAUUUGCAGAUGAGAGGUCUGGUGGUUUUACUUGUGUCUAAGGCUGCUGGCCCCAAUUUGUCAAAAGAAGACUCCAUUCAGAAUGACAUUGUCAGUGGGAUAUAUUCUAGCCAAAGAACUCUUGCAGAGAUCACAGAGUUGAUCCACACAGCUUUCCUUGUGCAUCGUGGAAUAGUAAACAUUAGUGAACUGACAUCCUCAGAUGGACCUUUGAAAGAUAUGCAAUUUGGAAAUAAAAUGGCUGUCCUGAGUGGUGAUUUUCUUCUAGCAAAUGCCUGCACAAGUCUUGCUCAGCUGCAAAAUACUAAGGUGGUAGAGAUAAUGUCAAGUGCCAUUGGCGACUUAAUACAAGGAAUAUAUUGCGAAAAUUCAAGCCCGGGAAAGGAAAACAUUCUCACAGACGACAUCAGAAUAUCAGAUUGGAAAGAGCAGGUUUUCCAAUCUCAUUGUGUCUUGCUGGCAAAAAGCUGCCAUGCUGCAAUGGAGCUGGCAAAGCACGCUGUAGGAAUUCAGAAGAUGGCAUUUAAUUACGGGAAGCACAUGUCUAUGUGUCACAAGCUAAAUGCUGAUAUUCAGCCAUUUAUUGAUGGAAAUUCGAAUGAUUCCCUGCCAUUUAACUUAAAUUCUGCUCCUGUAGUAUUCCAUCAAGAGUUUGUUGGAAGAGAAGUCUGGAUUAAGCAAAUUAAAGAGACUCAAGGCGAAGAAGACUUAAUAGACUAUAGCAAGUUGCAAGAUGCAAUCAAGGCUAGCAAAGGUGUGACUUCAGCUAUUGACCUAUGUCGUUGCCAUGGAAACAGCGCACUGGAAGCUCUAGAAUCUUUCCCUCCCUCUGAGGCCAGAUCUGCCUUAGAAAACAUUGUUUAUGCUGUGACAAGAUUUUCAUAACGUAGAAUUGGGAGGGAGAAACUGCUGUUCAUUUGCGGAAACAAGCCGAACAGAACAGGCAUUGGAAUCCUAAUCUCUAACUAAAGGCAAAUCAUAAUCUCUCCUGAAUCUACGAUUGUUUCUUUCAACGCACUAACUAUUUUAGGAAACAUGAUCAAGUGGCUCAGUUCUGUUGGGAUUGUGUUAGAAAUCACUCCAUUUCCUGAAUUAAGGUUUUUGGUCUAACACUGUAAUUAGUACAGGCAGAAUGCAGAAACUGAUCCAUUCUGUACAUCUUUUUGAGAUAGCUGAAACCUAACAAAAACAAUCAGCAAUGUACUGCUGGAAAAUAGAGCAUAUUCUUUACUAACACCACAUCUCUCCUCCUACUGGCUUUUUUUCUUAUGUUUACUUUCAAUGACAGAAUUUUUUCCCCUAAGAAAGGCACACUCUAUGGUACAUCCAGGUUUUUUAUCCAGUGUUUCUAUUAAAACACUUUAAAAUGAAAGUGUCUUGGGUUACUUGUGUCAUCUAUUAGGGUUGGUGUCUUAUUUUGAAAGACCUGGGGGUGAAACCUAGUAUUUUCAUACACAGUAUAGUUAUUAACAAGAGACUCAUAAAUACUUCUGUAUUAGGUCAACCUAUCCUCUAUACCCUACAGGACAUCAAUAUCAUUUUUGUUUACUGAAGGUUUAUUAAGAAAUGAAAUCUUCAAGCAGCUGCCUGCAACAAUUCAUCUUUCUAUUCUAUAGAGUGUUUGAAUGCAGUACACAACUUAGUGGCCUUGAUCAGUAAAUUCACAUGGCUUAAAUCUAAAAGAAAAUAAACCUACAGAAGUGGAAACGAGUACACAAAGAAAAUACAUUGUUUUUGUAAUUGUUUUUCAUAUUCUUCUAAGAUUACUGACAUGCUGUAUUAUUGAUUUGGUGAUGUGCUGUAUAAAGUCAUUCUUUGCAUUAGUCAAAAGAAUACUUUGGCUCCCCCGUGUGUAACAGAUUCUCUCACAUCCACAAAAUUUCUGAAUAAAUUAUGUCACUGCAUUUUUAAUGCUUGUGCUUGAAUAAUUCUUCCAUAAUACAAAAUUGAGUGCUGUUUUUUAAAACAUUUUUGAUGAUACUUGUCAAUAGUGCAUUGUUUAAUUGUAUAACUUGUGCUUCUUGGUAAAGUACAUCAUUUUGUGAACAUCACACAUUUAAAAUAUUUUACUUAUUGCAAUAUAAGCGAUUUGAAAGUUUUAAAAAACAAGGUGGAGAUAGAAUUUUAUCUCUCCUCAAAUCAACUAAUGAAAUUGAUCAGAAAAAUAUAUGUAUAAUUACAGCAUGUAAUAAACCUGUAGAAUAAAACAGUAGAAGAUGUGAUAAUUAGUGCUGCUAAUUUUAAUGGUUUUAAAAGGGGGUUGGAUAAAUUCACGGAGGAUAGUCUAUAAUUGGUUAUUAGACUUGAGACUCAGAUUUCAAGCAAUUUUAAUUUCAAGCAAAAGCUUCAAGUCUCGUGCUUUUUCAAAAGGCAACUGGACAGUGUUCUUUCCUUGAGCAAGAGGACAUUUCACUUCUCAUCCAAGAAGCUUCAUCAGUUCUGACUGGAUGGUGGGGAGAAUCUCAGAAGCACUGAACUGUAUCUUUCAGAGAUUCUGGAGCACCAGGGAACUAUCAGAGGACUGGAAAAGAGCUGAUGUGGUUCCCAUCUUCAAAAAAGAGGAAA